Long non-coding RNA from Anas platyrhynchos (mallard), 7990 nucleotides. RefSeq lists it as uncharacterized. Lineage: Eukaryota; Metazoa; Chordata; Aves; Anseriformes; Anatidae. The record is from RefSeq and is a predicted model, not a curated record.
UUCCUCAAAAGCUGGGGCCAUCUGGACACAGUCCUGUCCCUUGUACAAGCUGUCAGCAGCACCGAGGGAUUGCUCUGGCAGCCAGAAUUGCUGGCUCAUCCGAGAGACUCCAUGCUCAUGGCCAGGAGGGCAGAUGGCACCGGAUCCACUACAGUGGCUUUGCACCACCUGGUUCCCCUGUUCAGGAGCGUCCUGCAGAGCCAGGUGAGCCUGGCUUCAGGCACUGUGGUAUCAUUCAGAUGGAUGGUGUGAGCCACCCCACCAUACCACGACCAGUAGACUCCUGAACACCUCCAAGAACACGAGCCCUGGCACAAACGUUGGCGUGGAUGUGCUUAUUUUCAGCUGGCCUUACAUCGGGCUUCACCAAAGCAACAACCUGAGGUACUGCCCUCUCGCAGAAGCCAUCCCUGGAAGAGAGAUGGGGUCGUGGUCUCCUUGUCCAUCCGCAGCCCUUAGGAACUGCUGCCAGAGGAGACUCUGACACUUCUUAGCACUUCAGCCUCAGCCAGAGCAGUGGAUUGAAUCUCAUAUGUGCAUAUAUUCCUUCCACUGGAGAACAUAAAUGUCCAAAAAUAAAUUACAUUAGUUUUUCAGUUAAACUUUAAGAGUUCUCAAGUCCAGGUAAGACUUUCUGGUCAAAACCUAGAUCCUGAUGUAAGGAUCUGGUCAAACACCUAGAUUCUGAUGUAAGAAUAAAAAAGUGAACGGCUGUGAAGGUAUUCACAGAGCAAACAGGAAAGCUAAAUGAAUGGUUUGAACAAACAUUUUCUCUGCAUCAUAUAUGGGCUCUCUAAGAAUUAAUUUAUUAAUCAAUUAGUAAGGGGAAGGCAGAAGGAGAAGAAAAAGGAAAAGAAAAAAGACUAUAGAUUGAUAUAUUUACAACACUUUUCAUUUUAUUUUGUUACAUACCAUGAAAAUAUAAAUAACAAAUUAAUAUACAAGUAAUUAAUGAAGUAUCUAUACACACAAACAUAUUGAAUUGGUAGAAGGCAAAGAACAGUCCCUACAAUUUAGGUUAAACUAUGGUGGAUGCACUUUAUUCAAAGGAGGCUACUGCCUAUCACCCAGUGCGUGAUUAUAUAUCCUGCACGUUUGGGACUGCAUGAAUGUGACAACUUUGAAAAUAGAUUAAAUAAAUGAUCCGAUUUAUAUAGUACAAGUGCCUCUCAUGGACCAUCCCAAACUUCUCUGGUGGAUAGAGAAAAAAGAUGAAAACCACUGCCACAGUAGCCCUGACACUGGUGCUUGAAAAAGCACUGUAUGGUGAAUGUGGUUCAUGGGAGGGAUGUGUUAGAUGCAAAUAAUAAAGCAGCUACCAAUUUAAAAUGCAUAAACUACAGAAGAGAGGAAGCCAUUGCAAAACCUGUUAGCAAUAAAAUUGGAAAGAGAAAUGUUGCUCACCCAGCUGGUUAAAUGAUGAUGGAGAGUAAAACCAAGAGAAAAAUAAACACCAGAUUUAGAAGCACACUGUGUAUCUGGUGCCAUUAAGGAAGAUCAGCCUGCAACUGCACUGAAAGUGCCUGGUUCCAUUGUGUCCAAUGUCCAUUUGCACAGCACAGAGCCUCUCAGUCACCUCUCCAAGUGCAGCAAGCCUGUAGUGACCUGGCUGUACCUUUGCUUGCAAUGCUGAAUGAGAGAAUUGGACUUAGACUGUCAGAACAAUUCAUCUUUUGCAUCCAAGACGUGGCCCCUCUAAGGAUCUGGAGAUAGCUUUACAGUCAUUAACAAAUUAAGUUUCAGGAGUAUUAAAUGAAUACUCAGUGAGUGGCCUCAGUACUCAACAUUCAUUAAUUUCAAAACUAGAGAAGUUUUAAAAACUUUGUCUUUUCCUGAUGAGCUCCUACAAACACAGCUUUUGUGUGUCCAAGCUCUCAUUAUAAUCAAAGGAAGCCUGUAUGCAAAGCAAGAGUACAGUUGUCACUUUGGUUUACUCAUGCUUGUCCCAAAAAAUGAAAAGAGGCUUUUCUGACUUUUUUUUCAUGCACGUGUGAAGUGUGGUAGCAUUUGGAGUUAAACUUCCUAUUGUCACAUUGGAAACCCAAACUGUGAAUGCAAAUCCCCUGAUGGCUUAGUACCAGGUUUCUGAGUCUCAUUGCAGGGACAUCUUUGAGAAUUUGGCCCCAUGUUGCAGUGAUAAAGUGACAGAUUCCUCUCGUACUUAAAUUCUUGUGAGCAGAGUGCCUGGAGGUUUGGCUAGUUUGCCAGGAUUAGAGUCUGGGUUUUAAAGAGAGUAGCUUAUUUUUUCCCCAAACAGGCAUAAAAAUAGAGAUCUGCUUUUAGAGAAAAACAAAUCCACAAAGAUACAAAAAUGUGGAGUAGUCCCAUCUGACUGGUGCUCACAUGCUCCCAGCUGAGCCGUGCUCCCCUUGUUAAACUCCUCUGCAAGAAAUGGGCCUGAUUCCUUCUCUUCUACCAUCAGUUUGAGCAGACAGCAUCUCUAGAGAAACCCACUUUCACCCUAUUUACUUCAGAAAUUACACUCAGGUUUCUGUCUCUUACUGAGCCUGAGUGAAUACCUUACCUGACUUACCACCUCAGGCUCCCGUUAGGAUCAGGUGCACUGGCUUUCCUUCCCCCGUCCUGCUCUUGCAUUGUUCUGUCACACAAAAGGGCCUCCUCAGGCCAGGGUCAGGUCCACUACCUCCUUCACUUGUUCGAAGAUAUCCAAUUAAAUUCAGUUUAAUAACUCUGACCAUUUAUAUGACAUAUUUCAUCUCUGAAGAGAUAAAAAAUUAUUAUUAAUAAUUACUGCUCAGAGUGCUCCCAAGAGGCAUGUUCACACUAUCACAACCUCAUUCCAUAGGGAAACUGAGGCAAAGUGUUUUAUUGCAGGACCACAGACCAAGUCCUUGCCAUAUCGCUCGGAUGAAUGUGAUGCUGUGUGGUUUCCCACAUGGGGCAAAAUCUACUCUUGGAUAGAUAAAUUCACGUGUCUUUUUUGUUUGUUUGUUUGUUUGUUUUUGUUUGUUUUGUUUUGUUUGUUUGUUAGUCUGUUGUUUCUACCAAAUAUCAGCAGAAGAAAGAGCUGAGGCCACAGAACUGUCAAGUCUCAGCUUCACCCUGGUGUUUCAAUUCCUGCUAGAGCCUCAACACCUUUGGCCAAAGUGGAGACUGCAUGUGGAGGCAGCAGGACCUUUUGGGCAUGGAAACAAUGCAGAGGCCGCCCAGUGACUUCCCGGGGCUCUCUGAGUGGGAGCUGUGGUUUGUGUCCAAUUGAUUCAAGAAUUCACUCUGGAUUUCAACAGUUUCCUAUUCCUUGACUGAAUGCUUUGAGCACACUCUCAAAUGAGGUACGGUAAUGGCUUUUGUGUGGCACUUUUUAUGCCCUACUUUUCCCUGGUUCCCCAUCCUCUUCUCUCUUAAGUGUAGGAUUAUCUGGCUCACAUCUAGACUCUUGCAGUUCAGAGCAGUCUAUAAUGUAGCCACCUGGAAAAGAACAUUUCUUUCUUCUUUCUUUUUUUUUUUCUUUUUUUGUUUUUCCAUGUUUCUUUCUUUAGCAUGAACUUUGCAUUUGAGGAUUAUUGACAAAUCUGUUUGGAAAAGAUGCAUGAAGAAAAACCUUUAUGGUCCAUCUUGUGGUAAAAAGCGGGUAUUUCUUUGCUCAUUUGAAUGUCGGAGGAUUAUUUAUGCUGGUGCAAUGUUUUGAAGAGAUAAAAUACUCCCCACUGUGCUACAUGCAAAUCUCUGCAAUGUAAACAUAAAUAGUUGUUGCACAUGCAUAAUCAAAGACAUUUUUAUAAUUAUUGUUGGAUAGUUCAGUCCUCUAAUAGCAUCAUCUGGUGUAAAUCAGUGUAGGUCUACUGAAGCCUGCAAAGCCCCUACCGAUUUGUACCAGAUGGGACUCAAACUCUUCACUCUAAGUUUAGUCCUUCUAGGGGAAAAAAAAAAUAAAAAAGACAAAGGCCUGAUAGUCCUUGAAAAUUGAGUUCUUUGUUAAUUCAUGGAAAGCUAGUAGUGCAAGAGUGGCAGGGACUUUUCUUGAUCCGUGUGUAUGCCUCAGCCCUUAUCUAGGGAGAACAUUUCUGUGACGAGGGAAAGCAUGGGCUUCUGUGCCAAGUCAGCUCCCGGCCCUCUGCUCAGACUAUCGCAAAGAUUUGCCAGAUAAUGCGAUGUAUAACGUGAACUCCUUUCUGCCGGGACUUGGACUAAUACCGCCAUCUCUUUAGCAUAGGCCACCAGACUGCUGCCAGAUGCUAAGAAUUUUCAGUUGUUCACAACCUGUGCUGCAUUUUUAGAUACCUAAAGGUGAAGGUCUCGAAAUCCAGUUUUCCAUCCCCAGAGCGAUCUUGUUUCACUGUCAUUCAGCAUUAUCUUUUCUUCAACAUUGUGCACAGCUCAAAGCACUUUCUAAAGCUAUUUUGACACCUGAUUCUCCUCCACCUGAAGACAACAACUGCAGUCCUUUGGGUGUUCCGUAGGCAAACUUUUCUCCAAGUAAAAUACAAUACUUUAAAACAUUUAUUUUCACAAAUAGGUUUAGACUACAUUAUCCAAAUAGCUGCUAGUGGAGACUGUCCAUGGAUGUUCAUGUUAUAGAUAGAUACUUCCAAAUCACUGAUACUAUUAAUUUGCAUACACAUAUUUUAUCUAACUGACAUGAAGCAAACUUUGUUUGCAUAAAACAAGAAGUGAACAAUUAGGGGAUUUUCCCCCAUCAUUUGAAUGUCAAUAGCAAAAAUAUCCAUUAAAUACUGAGUUACUGCUUAUUACAAGAUAAAAUAAUGGCCACCUAAAUUUCAUCAAAAAGCAAGAUUUUACAAGAAUGAAGAGGAUACACACACUAUAUUCAUCUUUCAAAUGAAUAAAAGUUUGCAUUAGUAUAACCGGCUCUUUUAGGGUUUUCUGUGAGAUUUUUUCCCAUUGUCUACAUUUUCAGUGAGAUUCUCCAAAAAAAAUGUUGGUUUUAUGUAAGCUUGAUGUGGAGCAAACUUUUUUUUUUGCAAGAAGUAUGAGCUACUGUUAGCAGCUACUGAAGAGCUCUAAGUCCGAUGUGGGUUUAAUGUUGUGAUGAGUGCCAUGGCAGAACAGUCUAACAAUAUAAGCCUGUUGGACAUGUCGUCUGGGCUGUCACGUUCAAUUUGCACAUGACCUCCUGGCCAAAAAAUGGGAAAGAAGUGGUAGAAUGUGGGACUGAAAGCUUAUAUUAUUGCUUUGACAGCUUCACUCAUCUAGAAGUAAUGCAAAAUGCAAUUUAUAUUUAUACUCUCUGACCUUCUGUACAGAGAGGGAAACUAUCUAAUGAUGGGCCAUGGUAGAAGAGAAAGAAACAGAUCUCAAUACAGCUGGAAUUUGUCUACAUUUUUUGCUUUUCAACCAUUCAAUUACAGUCAAAAGAUAAAUGAAACAUGAAGAGUGCAUUGGUUAGGUAGUGACACAAUUAUUUUAUAGUGAGUAGGUUCUGGCUUUGAGCCUUGGCAAAGGUUGCCAUGCACGCCUUGUUUCACUAGAUACAGAUAAUCUGCUUGCUCCCACCGGACAAAUCCCCUCUGCUUGUAGGUGUGUCAUUGUGCCCAUCACAGAAGGAGAAGAACGACACCAGCAUCUCGGUACCACUCUUCCCAUGCAUUUGAAUUUCAGAGAGGCUGACACUCUAAUCUUAUUAACCAUGAUAAAUCAAGUCAGGCCUAAUUGCAAAGGGGACAUUAUUUGCUCUUGUGGUAAACAGGCACAUAGGAAGAAAGCAACACUUUCUUCUCUUCCAAGGAAUCGAACAUGGAUUUGUAUCUUCUCAAGAGAAAAAAAAAAAAAAAAAAGGAGAAAUCAGCUUUUGGCUUUUGACUCUGACAGAACUGCUUAAGUAAAGACUGGGUAACAGCUGAAGAUCCUUAACAACACAUAUCAGAGUAGCUAUCAUCCUGCCAUAGCCCAGCAUCCUUCAGAGGGCUUCACUGCAGCCAUGGCUGUUUAUAACAGCAUGAUUUGGCUCAAAAAUUCAGCCUCCAGCUGCAUCUGUUUCUCCCUUUUCAUUCAAAAGAGACACAGCAUUUGAAGGAAAAGUUAUUUGCAGGAGUGAGCAUUGAGAGAAGAUAACGGGCAUGGAAAACAGAAAGUGCAGGUUUUAAACAUCCCAGAGUAUUUUAGACAAUUACAUCUCUUUGGAUUCAUCACUGCAUCUCAUUGAUCCAUCCUGCCCUAAAGAGGAGUUGAUCCAAAGUCCAUUGACAUCAACAGUGAGACUUUCAGGAGUGAUUGUAGGCUAUGAAACAACCCCACAGUUUCAGUGCUCAUAUCAGCCAGGCAGUCACUAUUUUUUUCUUUUUUUUUUUUCUUUUCCUGUCUUAAUUGUUUUAAUCUGGACUAACAUUUUUCUUUUCUUUCGUAGACUGAAUGAUAAAAAACAAAGCAAACAAAUUUUAUUGGACAAAAAUUUCAACCUGAUAUCCAGCUUUCUUUGGAGAAUCCUUUUUCAACAGGUAUUCAUGACUUCUGCCAAAUCAGGGCAAGCAGGAUUGUUUAAAAGAUACGUGAUGACAACAAUAAACAAGGAAACUGAUGGUCAGUGUACAGUGGAUAUGUCAGAAAAGAAUAAAAAUGUGGAAACAAAAGCUAUAGGAAGGUCAUGUUUCAUAAAUAAAUGCAAUAAGAUGAGACAAGUAAGACAAAAUAGUGCAAUAUGAGAGGCUGAGUGGAAAUUAAUAUGCAAUUUAUCAUUCUUUUGGUUUGGUUCCCAGUAAAAAAGAGUUCUUUGUCCAAACUGUUAGUUACCCUACAGGUUCAAAGCUGCUUACCUCUGCACCUUUUGGAGCAGGAUCCAAUUAUCCAUUUACAGUUAAAAUGGAACUUAGAAUCUGGGCUAUUUAUGGAGCUACUUUCCCUAGUCCCUGCAGGCUGGUGCAAAGCUGUGGCUUUCUAGAGUGUGGGGCUGUGGUGAAAGCAAUGGGCCACACAUGAAGCCCAAGACCCUUGGGGUGGCGAGGGGCAGGCCUGGGUGCAAGUGUGGCCAUGUGAGGGGCACUGGGUGGCGUGAACCUCACAGUUGGUGCAUGGGGUUAAAUCAAUACCCACCGCCCCUGGGGCUCCCCCAGCCAGAGAGCACUGCAGAGGAGUUGAUGGAACCAGGAGGGCUGCUUCCCAUCCCUUUUUUCCAAGUGGGCAGCCGGGAUAGAAAGGAGGCAUUAAAUAAUGAACUGACCCCCACUGGUGUCACUGUGGGUUUUGCUGGUGGCAGUGGAAGGAGAGGGCUGAGGCCUUUGGUUUGGAUGGGGGGGAGGGAACCGCCCCUGGGUAAUUGCCAAGUUGCUUUUGCAGGCUGACCACGGUGCAGUGCACAGAGCCCCCUCUCACAUGGGCACACUUUGCAUGUCUUUUCCAGCUGAGUCACUGAAUUGGGGGAAAAGUUGAGCAGUUGACCUGGCAUUUUUAGAGGACUGAUUUGGAGGGGGGUGGGAUACAGAAGGACUAUUUCCCCCUCCUUUGUCUAUAAUUUAUUUGUUCCACCAAGCUGCUGAAGUGAAGCAGUUAAUAGUGAUUUUUGUUUUCCUUCACUAUUUUUAAUCCACAACCCUGCCCUGUACCUGCCCUUAUAAUCCCCUAGCAUGUGCUGGUGACAUCACAUGGCCGUCAGCUCCCAGCUCCAUCCCUGUGACUGUCAUUAACUGUUGCAAGCAAAUGAAAAAUGACUGGGAGACUCGGUGGCUCCCACCAGUGACCUUGGGUAUUAUUAGAAUGACCUCGCUUUGGCUUGACCAUAAAAAAAAGAAAAACCUUCCUUGAUAUCAUCACAGGGGCUGGGGCUGAACUGAAGCUGUUUGCAGUGAGGAGCAGGGACAGGAAUGGAAGAACCGUUAAAGAAAGCAAAGUAAAUGUUAUGGAAAGAUCUGACUUAAUCAGAGGCAUAGCCCCACAACAUUACCCCUUGCCAGGAUGUACUGGGCUGUGCUGGGGUCACUGUGCACCUUGCUGGGUUUGUUUUUAAGCUGCUUCUUGUUUGAUAUUGGUUUGCUUGGUCUAUAAAAAAAAAAAAAUAAAAUUAUAUUUAACUCCUCAA